Molecule: ribosomal RNA, 460 nt
Filed under: uncultured bacterium
Lineage: Bacteria
Description: partial 16S ribosomal RNA
Rfam family: Bacterial small subunit ribosomal RNA
Source: RNAcentral
CCUACGGGUGACAGCAGUGAGGAAUAUUGGUCAAUGGACGAGAGUCUGAACCAGCCAAGUAGCGUGAAGGAUGACUGCCCUAUGGGUUGUAAACUUCUUUUAUAUGGGAAUAAAACGUUCCACGUGUGGGAUUUUGUAUGUACCAUAUGAAUAAGGAUCGGCUACCUCCGUGCCAGCAGCCGCGGUAAUACGGAGGAUCCGAGCGUUAUCCGGAUUUAUUGGGUUUAAAGGGAGCGUAGGUGGAUUGUUAAGUCAGUUGUGAAAGUUUGCGGCUCAACCGUAAAAUUGCAGUUGAAACUGGCAGUCUUGAGUACAGUAGAGGUGGGCGGAAUUCGUGGUGUAGCGGUGAAAUGCUUAGAUAUCACGAAGAACUCCGAUUGCGAAGGCAGUUCACUGGACUGCAACUGACACUGAGGCUCGAAAGUGUGGGUAUCAAACAGGAUUAGAUACCCUUGUAGUC